Molecule: ribosomal RNA, 142 nt
Filed under: Actinomycetes bacterium
Lineage: Bacteria; Bacillati; Actinomycetota; Actinomycetes
Description: partial 23S ribosomal RNA
Rfam family: Bacterial large subunit ribosomal RNA
Source: RNAcentral
CGGGAAACCCCCUCCAAGACCAGGCUUCUCACCCAUCAAGUGGGAUAAGGCCCCCCGCAGACCACGGGAUCGAUAGACCAGACCUACACACCCAGCAAUGGGCACAGGGAACUGGCACUAACCGGCCGAAAACUUACAACAC